RNAcentral lists this ribosomal RNA (902 nucleotides) under Coprinellus disseminatus. Its description in RNAcentral is "eukaryotic LSU rRNA". The stretch from base 606 to 902 matches the Rfam family "Eukaryotic large subunit ribosomal RNA", at positions 1 to 292 of the family's 3401-position model. The record is from RNAcentral. Lineage: Eukaryota; Fungi; Basidiomycota; Agaricomycetes; Agaricales; Psathyrellaceae.
AACGAAUAACUAUGGUGUCUUGGUUGUCGCUGGCUCCUCGGAGCAUUGUGCACGCCCGCCAUUUUUAUCUAUCCACCUGUGCACCGAAUGUAGGUCUGGAUGACUCUCGCCUUCGGGCGGAUGCGAGGUUUGCGUGCGAGCGCUCUCCUCGAAUUUCCAGGCUCUACGUCUCUUUACACACCCCAAACGUAUGAUGCAGAAUGUAGUCAAUGGGCCUUUACAAGCCUAUAAAACACUAUACAACUUUCAGCAACGGAUCUCUUGGCUCUCGCAUCGAUGAAGAACGCAGCGAAAUGCGAUAAGUAAUGUGAAUUGCAGAAUUCAGUGAAUCAUCGAAUCUUUGAACGCACCUUGCGCUCCUUGGUAUUCCGAGGAGCAUGCCUGUUUGAGUGUCAUUAAAUUCUCAACCUCACCGGUUUUCUGAACCGUUCUCCGAGGCUUGGAUGUGGGGGUCUGUGCAGGUCGCCUCAGCGCGGUCUGCUCCCCUGAAAUGCAUUAGCGAGAUUCAUUCUGGACCUCCGUCUAUCGGUGUGAUAAUUAUCUACGUCGUUGACUUGGUUCGGACUCGCUUCUAACCGUCCGCGAGGACAACAUACUUGACAAUUUGACCUCAAAUCAGGUAGGACUACCCGCUGAACUUAAGCAUAUCAAUAAGCGGAGGAAAAGAAACUAACAAGGAUUCCCCUAGUAACUGCGAGUGAAGCGGGAAAAGCUCAAAUUUAAAAUCUGGCGGUCCUUGGUCCGAGUUGUAAUCUAGAGAAGUGUUACCGCGUCGGACCGUGUACAAGUCUCCUGGAAAUGGAGCGUCAUAGAGGGUGAGAAUCUCGUCUUUGACACGGACUACUCGAGGCUUCUGUGGUGCGCUCUCAAAGAGUCGAGUUGUUUGGGAAUGCAGCUCAAAA